GUAGUCAUUAACCCGUGUUGUCUUCCCAGCUUCCUCCUAUUUGUCUGUGGUGUCUCACUUUGAGCAAGUGGCCCCGGAGCUUGAGCAAUCAAAGGACCGUGAUGUCGAAGACCGCACUGGCUGACUCAACGCUGUCUGGGUCAGCGUCCUUAUUUAGUCCCUUCCUCUUCUUGGUUUCGGAUCCCAGCCCGCGUGUGUGUCCUUUGCACAAGGAACAGGUGGCCUUCCACGAUUCCACAGGAUGGCAGUCCACAGUGUUUGCUGUGAUUGGUCUCAUGACGCACAGUCCAUUUUUUAUGGCCCCAGAGAUCAGCGGGCACUUGAGUUUUGUAGACAGAAGUGAAAGGUCUCUGCCAAGAGUUGCCCACGCUCCUGGCGUUUCCUUCAGCCUGGUUGCCUUUUUAUUUGUGUCCCUAACAGAUGUCCUGGAUUUAAAGAACUUGUUCAUUUUUCAGGGGAACCACCGUGGACAAAGAAGAUACUUUAGAGUGAGCAUUGUGAGUUGGCACAAGAUAAAACUGGGAAGGUGACCCAGAUCCUAGCCCUGGCUGUCAGGCAGAGUGACCCUGGACCGCAUUAAAACAACAGAAACAAUGCUGUGGGAUGAGUCUGACACCAAUCACACGACAGCACGUAAGCAUCCAGCAGAAACAGGCUCACUGUCUUGAACUACCUGGAUUUUAACCGAGAAGAGAAUGCAUCCUUAGGGCUAACAGAUGCUUUGGGCCCAACAUCAACCUCUGACACAAUUCAGAGAUUUAUGGAAAUAAGAUAUGAAAAAGAUACAUGAGACCCUCACAAUGAAAGUGUUACUGACAGCAUUCAGAACACAUUGGACUCCUAAUAGCAAAAUGGAAUGUUGAAAAAGUUUAGUUUUGUUGAAAGUUCAUGGAAGAAUGUAGUAGGUAUGCUUUAGGAUGUCUCUCAUCCACAGUACAUUUCCUUAGGAUCAUCCCUUACCAACAGACUCUCCUGAAGCCGAGGGCUUAGGUGACCACAUCUCUAUAGCCAUCACCCCCGCCACAGCUGAUGGAACCAGGGCGACGCCAGUGUCAGCUUGAUAGGGAAUACUGAACACAACCAGACCAAGAUGGUCUCUACGGAAACCAGAAAGCAAGGUCACAGAGGACGUGGGAUGCAAUUGUGUGUGGAAAGCCAAAGGCACGGCAAGCUGGAACUAGAGGGAAGGGGUGGACACAGCAGCGACAGCAAUAAUCGAGGCAGCUGACACUUAUGCUGUGUGUGCCAGCCACCUCUCUCUCUCAGGUUUAGAAAGACGAGCACCUGCAAUUCAUGAAGGGAACGUCUUCUCAAGGGAAACUCUGCAAGAGGAAACCAAGCUGCCGCGUGAGCUUGGAAUUACUUGGAAUACCCUUGGCUAAAUUACAGCUGCUGAAUCCAGUUUCUUAAGAUGUUGUCUUUUAGGACCUUUGCCCCAAUUUCCUUAAAGGAAUUACUUGUUCAUUUUUCAAGGCUUUUACCCACCUCUAGGACCCUCACCCCACUCAUCACCUGCCUCUGAUGCAAGGCACCACUUACAAGCUGCUGCUCUCCUCGAGAUGAAAAAGCUGGAAUCCUAAACAGUGUGCCAAGUCCUUGGUAUAGCUUUGGGAGGAAGCUGUCCUAUCGUGGAAACGACAUGAGCUGGGAAGCUCCCUUGGUCCCUUGGGUUUGCCAGGGAGGAUCAGACCAAGGGAGCUUCCAGGAAUGCAGGAGCAGGUACACC
This is a long non-coding RNA of Equus caballus (horse), 1726 nucleotides long. Lineage: Eukaryota; Metazoa; Chordata; Mammalia; Perissodactyla; Equidae. The record is from Ensembl.